Molecule: long non-coding RNA, 3369 nt
Organism: Grus americana (Whooping crane)
Lineage: Eukaryota; Metazoa; Chordata; Aves; Gruiformes; Gruidae
Exons: 2
Source: RefSeq, a predicted model, not a curated record
GCUGCUGGGGCCCCGGCACGACAGUGGAGAUGAACAGCUCGAUGGCAGAGGGUGGGAGCACCAGGGCUGCGGUGGCCCCAGCCAUGUGAGCCGAGUUCCUCGCUGCUGUUCUCAUUUAUAAAUAGAAAGGCAGUUAGUUAUUAUUAGAGCUCGUUGAGUGGCUCUGGAGGAACUACAGAAAACCUUUCCAAAUGAGCUGCUUUCCAGUUCAAGCAAAGCUCCUGGGGUCAUGUCUGGAGGACAAUGUCAUGAGGAGCACCUUGAGUCUUGGAGACAGGUCUGGGCUGGUCCAAGCUCACCUUUGCACCAGGUCAUGGUGCUCCCAGCAUGGCUGGGGUUGGUGCAGUGGCACCCUAUGGGUGGGCUGUCCCCACCUCACUCUGUGCACCCGUGUUUCCCAUUCCUAUGAUAACAAGGCAGGGCAUCAGCAGAGAACCUUACCUUGGGCCUUUAUCUCCAGCACCUUCCCCAGGAACUUGGAGGACACAGCCAGCACCUGCACUGUCAUACCAUCCUGAGGAGCGUGACGAAGCUGCUCCCCGUACCGGGUAGGAGAGCUUUUCAUCACAUCUUCAAGCUGUCCCAAGACCUCUGUGGGAUGAAGGAUGGGCACAGAGAGAGGAAGAUGCACACCUGGAUAACCCAGAAGGUGGGUCAGUUCUCUUGGGUCCAGCAGAAGAAACACCAUCAGGUGCUGCAAGCCUGGGAUGCUUUCUUGGAGCCUUGCCUGUAGGUUCUUGUGCUGAAGUUCCCAUGUCUGUAGCCAGGACAAACAGUGGAGAAGAGGCAUUUUUCCCCUCGUGCUCAUGCAACAGCCUCCCUUCCUCCUCUUAGUCUCAUCGGCAGUGUACAUCGGGAUGUUAAAGCUUGCUAACAGCAGCAGGUACGAAGAAGUAGCGACCCACGUAGCCUCGCAGUGCUGUGCUCUCUGCAGCCCCUCCACCCACCAGGUCAGCCACCCCCAUCACUCCCGCCAGCGGUGCCGGAGGGAUUUCUCCCAGUUUCAACAGAAAUGCCGAAUUCGAGCCCCACUCAUUGUCAGCACACCACAAACGUUGUUGUCCCCUGUUAGUGAGGAAUGAACAAACCCCAGCCCCAGGCUGCUCUCUCUGAUGCUGCCCAGUGUCCACCUCAGACCCCGCUGCUUUUUUUUUUAGAAACCAGGUCUAAAAAAUUGGGUGUAGAACUGCAAUGCCUUCCUUUAGUUCUUCCUUCAUAAGGAUUUUCCUCAGAUGAAAUCUGUUGAAGCCGUAAGUCACCAGGUGGCUUUUUCAGGCACCAGGGAUAUGUUUUCUCUCAGAAGAAAGCUGACAAUCUAGCUGGGACAGACUCUUACGCGCUCUCUUUGCUCCUGGGCUGCCCCCAGCACACCGACUGCUCCAUACACACACCGAAGGGAAGGGCGAGCUGGCGUCUGCACGCAGGAGGAGAGAGCCUGAACGUGUGCACAUAGCAUCCCUGAGACUGGAAAAAUCUGCAAUUGCAGCCAGUAAUGACUAUUACUGCGGUACCACGGCACACAGUGGGAGACACUCCAGGAGACCCUCCUGAAAUCUUUUUUGCAUGACUAACUCCAGGAGAGAGGAGCCCUUCUGCAAGAGCCAGGGAGGGCUCUUCCACGUGCAGCCAGAUUAAAUCAGAACCGUGUCUUUUCCUCUGUAAUGAGACAUUUUAACUCCUCUGCGCUGCGCCUUGCAAGGAACAAGCCCUUGCAGAGAGGGGGGUGCAGCAUCCUCUGGGAUCUGGGAAGGGGACGGUGCCAUGGCUGGCCCAGGGCUCGGGAGGGGCUAAGCAGAGAGCUGGGGACACAUUUCUAUUCCAUCAUUUUUGCACGACAAAGAGACGGCAGUAAGACCCUCCAUCAGUGCCUUGCUUGCUCCUCACAUUGCUAUUUUAAUCUUUUCCCAAACCAAGAGCGGGCAGCUGCCACCAGCCCGUCCCACCAUGGCUGCCACCAGCAGUGGGAUGCUGACGACUGCAGCAAACCUGGCCCUGCUUGUUUACCGUGAUAUUAGUCACUCACUUCCCAAAUCCAUUGGAAAAAACACAGCUCCAGGUCCAAUGCCCCAGCCUUUCUGCUGCCAGACUGACCUCAGCAGCCACAAGAAACAAAUGGCCCAAUUUUAAGGCAGCUGGUGCCCUGCAGUAAACAGGGAGGGUGAGGCUAAAGCAGCAUCCCAUAAACUCACCUGGAAAACAAGUCCCAAGUGCCUUUUAACUCUCCACUUUUGCAGGUCCCUGCGUUCAUGUCACACUCCUAACUUGCCACAGUAAUGAAGUGCCCGCCCCCAAUUGUUUAUGGGUAUAUUUGGACUGUUCCCCACUGUCACAGUCAGUAAAACCCAGCGCAGACCACAGACGACUUCUGCGUUACUGACUGGUCAGCACAGGGCCCAAUAGGGACGGUAUGCAGCAUAAAUUAGCAUUUACCUCCUGGGGCUUCCUCCUGGUUGCAGCAGGAUGGGUACCACACUAACCGCAGCUCAGCACGUGGCCAGAGCAUCUCUUGCCUCCCCGACCCGACAGCAAGUGGCACUCUCCCCACACAGAAGCCCACAGGCAGUGGUUGAUGUGGCCGCAGGGCUUGUCCUUCUCAAAAGCAGAAGGAACUCAUCAUCCAGCCAAAGAAGAUGUAAUUCUCCGGUACGUGAUGGCAUGGAGCCAGUUCCCUUCUCUGACCACUCUUCAUUAACCAAAGGCAAAGCACUGCAAAGCAGAACAUUUCACAGCUGCCCUGUCCUGCCGUCAGCAAGAUGCCGUGAACAUCCUGACCCGACAACCCACAGGGAUGCUGGCUCCGUCGCAGCACUGGGACCUUUUCCAGUGACUUCAGUGGGGAGGGCUGGGGACCAGGGUCCUGACCCAGGUGUUUGCAGCACAUCGCUGAAGCUGUGAAGACACAAAACUCACCCAGUCUCACCUCCCAGGCCAGCUCCCUGUCCAUUUCAGGAUACAUCCCAGGAGGAUAAAGUCCUAGAGUACAAGUUUUCCUGGCAUAUUUGCAACCUGUUCUGCCUGAAAUAACUACAGGAGUGCCGGGGCCUUGUAGUCAGUAGCUUUUCCCAGCAUAACACCAGGGAACAUAGCUGAGACAUUGUGUUUUACUUCAUGUAUUUAUUUAUUCUUCCUUAUUUUGAAUGUGCAAUAUCACAGCCAAUGAGUUAUAGAUACUGCCAUUAACAAUAGCUGGAAAAAGUUUCAACCAUUUACAGACACUGAAAUGUUAGCUAAAUAGAAAAGCUUUUGAACAUUUUGCAAGACCAGCUUUAAAAACAGGAUGUGCAAACCCUUUAUUUUGGGACGUGUUUAUCCCAGUGAUCAGAUGUUCCACCCCGGUAUCCCUGUUAUGGCAAUAAAAGCCCUAUAAAA